UCCUACGGGGCGCAGCAGUAGGGAAUUUUCGUCAAUGGGCGCAAGCCUGAACGAGCGAUGCCGCGUGAGUGAAGAAGGCCUUCGGGUCGUAAAGCUCUGUUGCGGGGGAAAAAAGGCAGCAUCAGGAAAUGGGUGCUGACUGAUGGUGCCCCGCCAGAAAGUCACGGCUAACUACGUGCCAGCAGCCGCGGUAAUACGUAGGUGGCGAGCGUUAUCCGGAAUGAUUGGGCGUAAAGGGUGCGCAGG
This 246-nucleotide ribosomal RNA is filed under the name uncultured bacterium. Its description in RNAcentral is "partial 16S ribosomal RNA". It matches the Rfam family "Bacterial small subunit ribosomal RNA", at positions 337 to 575 of the family's 1533-position model. The record is from RNAcentral.